CAGUUUAACCUCAGCUUUAAUGAGGAUAGAGCUUUCUUCUGUGCAGUGGCCAACUGUGGAAAAAUGAACACUGAAAAGAAAACAGUUUUGAACACAGAAAAAGCUGUGGAUCCUGUUGUUUAUGGUUUGGCUGCUGUGUCGGGACUGUGUAUUUUGGUCAUAUGUUUCUUGGUCAUUUUAAUUUACCAAGACAGGAAACACAAACAUGACAAAGAAGUGAAGUUUCAGCAAGUUCACACAGACAGGUCCAACAGAGAUCCAUCAAGUGGGCAGG
This is a long non-coding RNA of Clupea harengus (Atlantic herring), 274 nucleotides long. RefSeq lists it as uncharacterized. The record is from RefSeq and is a predicted model, not a curated record. Lineage: Eukaryota; Metazoa; Chordata; Actinopteri; Clupeiformes; Clupeidae. The transcript has 3 exons.